RNAcentral lists this ribosomal RNA (254 nucleotides) under uncultured bacterium. RNAcentral's name for it is "partial 16S ribosomal RNA". It matches the Rfam family "Bacterial small subunit ribosomal RNA", at positions 524 to 776 of the family's 1533-position model. The record is from RNAcentral.
UACGUAGGCAGCGAGCGUUGUUCGGAGUUACUGGGCGUAAAGGGUGUGUAGGCGGUUGUUUAAGUUUGGUGUGAAAUCUCCCGGCUCAACUGGGAGGGUGCGCCGAAUACUGAAUGACUUGGAGUGCGGGAGAGGAGAGUGGAAUUCCUGGUGUAGCGGUGAAAUGCGUAGAUAUCAGGAGGAACACCGGUGGUGUAGACGGCUCUCUGGACCGUAACUGACGCUGAGACACGAAAGCGUGGGUAGCAAACGGG